CACUUUCAAACCAAUUUUGAACCCCACAAUGAUGUCACACAAAAUCCAGGAUCAAAGUCUACCCAAGAGUGAAGCAAAAAAAUCGAAUACCACACAGAUUCAACCUUUUUUUUUAAACUUCAGUUGUUCAGGACCUAUUCGUACCAUAGGAAUUUCCCAAAGUUUUUUAAUGGAACAUUAGCUUUAUUAUUUUUUCUUAGUUGUCACUGAUUUCUCAUUCUUCCAGCCCCCUUCAAAGUCAGAAAAAGUGUCUUUUAUAGGCAAGGCAACACUUAGGAAUCAGACUAUUUCAUUUUAGCUCUUUGUGCAUUUCGUUUUUAGCCUAAAAGUCCCUUAUGUACUGACUUGUUGCUCAAGUUUUACCACCAAACUACUGAAAACCCAUUUUGAACCCCAACUAGAAGGUUCCAAAUCAAUUACACUAAGAUUUCUUGACCUAUACUUCCUACAAUACCCCUGAAAUGUCCUGUUUUUUACCUCUUUUACAAGCUGGACCAAAUAGGAUCAAGUUGACCCAAGGCUAUGUUAAAUUAGGUCUAAUGAACUGGCCAUAAUCUAGCAAAAACUCUACUUAAGAACCUUAAAAUUUCAGCUGACAAUUGGCCUCAAGAGAGAAACCCUCCAAAAUGUCACCACCAACUUGACUGAACAUUAAGAAUUUCAAACGAAUCCAGAUGGAAUUUUUCCAAACAAAACACAAAAACUAAAACACACAUAAUAUGAAUAAGAACAAUAUCCUGAAUAUUACCCAGACUAGCAUGCAAAUGGAGAUUCUAUUAAGAUUAAACACUCACUAAAAUAAAUCGACAGUUAAGCUAUUUGACUUAAUAUAACCAAACCAAGAACAAAAGCCACAAUUUGACUAAGAUCUUAACACUACUAAAUUUAAAUUCAGGUCUGAGAUUCAAACCAACCCAAUAUGAAUUCUGUAAGCUAUCCCUAACCUUAAGCCAAAUUGACAGCAGAAAUAAGGAAGAGGCUAUUCAGAAAAGGGAAAAUAACAACUUAACUUAACUUCUACAUGCACCAUGUCUUGGGUACGCUUCUGAGUCGAUUUGGUGGUGAUGAGAUCAUCAGCCUCCUUCGAAUCUGCAUUUGAGAAGAUUCAGUAGAGUUUGAAGGACGCAAAGUGUAAAUUUGAAGUGAGGGAGAGGCAAGGGUCGUUUGGUAUUGAUUAGGGAUCAUUUGGGCAUAGGCGCCGCUGUGGACAGCGGAGCAGCCGUGAAUUCAAACUAAUAUUUGACAAGAUUGAAGGGGAUUCGAGGGAAGCUAAAGUUAGAUUCGUGAUGAGGAUGGAAAAGGGGUGCUACGAUGUAAUUUUGGGGUUGUUUGGGGUAUCGCCGCCGGCGGAGGCGAUUUCCGGCCGGCGACAGACGACGGAGAAUGGUGGUAUUAGGGUUUUGU
Molecule: long non-coding RNA, 1404 nt
Filed under: Nicotiana benthamiana
Lineage: Eukaryota; Viridiplantae; Streptophyta; Magnoliopsida; Solanales; Solanaceae
Description: long non-coding RNA (NBEN_LNC010892)
Source: RNAcentral